This is a non-coding RNA of Pimephales promelas (fathead minnow), 438 nucleotides long. The record is from RefSeq and is a predicted model, not a curated record. Lineage: Eukaryota; Metazoa; Chordata; Actinopteri; Cypriniformes; Leuciscidae.
AUCUCCACGACUAUAGGGGUUAUGGCUAUGCUCUUGUUACCAGAUGAGAUAUCAUUUGAUCCUGUGAUUCUUCAGGACAAGAUCUUGAUGCCAUCCACACCCAGUACAUGACGAAGGUUUUCUGGGAUCCACAGUGGAAGGCAUCAAGGCGUGAGAUGUUGGCUGGACAGAUGUACCUGUACACCACACCGACCUCUGCUUUUACAUGGAUGGCGGAUUACUAUCAUGUUCUGUAAAGGUUUCAUUAUAGCAAAACAGAGCACCUGUGACAGUGGAAUCUGUAGCUGUAACGUAGUCAGUUAAAAGUAGUCAGGUGUAAAGUAGUCACAGAGAGAACUUUUUUUUUUUAAGUUUCAAACUUUUUUCUCUUUCACAAAAAACACUGCAGUUACAGCUUUUCAAAUUCUUCAUUGGAGGUGUACAAAUAAUUUUCUUUUU